GGGAAUUUUGCACAAUGGGGGCAACCCUGAUGCAGCGACGCCGCGUGAUUUAGAAGGCCUUCGGGUUGUAAAAAUCUUUUGUAUAGGAAGAAAAUGACAGUACUAUACGAAUAAGGUCCGGCUAAUUACGUGCCAGCAGCCGCGGUAAUACGUAAGGACCGAGCGUUGUCCGGAAUCAUUGGGCGUAAAGGGUACGUAGGCGGUUAGAAAAGUUAGAAGUGAAAGGCUAUAGCUCAACUAUAGUAAGCUUUUAAAACUGUUUAACUUGAGAGAUGGAAGGGAAAGUGGAAUUCCUAGUGUAGCGGUGAAAUGCGCAGAUAUUAGGAGGAAUACCGGUGGCGAAGGCGACUUUCUGGCCAUUAUCUGACGCUGAGGUACGAAAGCGUGGGUAGCAAACAGG
Molecule: ribosomal RNA, 400 nt
Filed under: uncultured bacterium
Lineage: Bacteria
Description: bacterial SSU rRNA
Rfam family: Bacterial small subunit ribosomal RNA
Source: RNAcentral